RNAcentral lists this ribosomal RNA (3526 nucleotides) under Candidatus Kaiserbacteria bacterium. RNAcentral's name for it is "bacterial LSU rRNA". It matches the Rfam family "Bacterial large subunit ribosomal RNA". The record is from RNAcentral. Lineage: Bacteria; Candidatus Kaiseribacteriota.
AAGUUCCAUUAAGGGCGCAUGGUGGAUGCCUUGACUGAAUGGAGCGAUGAAAGACGUGGUCUGGCUGCGAUAAGUUUCGGGGAGGUGCCAAACAACCUUCGAUCCGAAAAUUUCUGAAUGGGGGAACCCMMUYGANUAWYWCWYKAUKRYUMUSUWCNKGAUACWSRRKRCAUACCCGGGGAAUUGAAACAUCUUAGUACCCGGAGGAAUAGAAACCAAUAGGUAUUUCCUGAGUAGCGGCGAGCGAAACGGAAGAAGCCCAAACCUCUGCGCUUGCGUAGGGGGGUUGUAAGAUACUAGUGCUGCAUUUAUGUAGGAAGAGUUACAAAAUAUGUUGUUAAAAGAACAACCUGGGAAGGUUGACCCUAGAGGGUAAUAGUCCCGUAUUUGAAAACAAUCAUAUCUCUUUAGCUAGUACUCUUGAGUAGCUCGGGACACGAAUAGCCCGAGUGAAUCUGCCGGAACUAACCGGUAAGGCUAAAUAUACAUUCAGAUCGAUAGUGAACAAGUACCGUGAGGGAAAGGUGAAAAGAACCCCGUUUAGGGGAGUGAAAUAGAACUGAAACCAUGUGUCUACAAGGAGUCGAAGAGGUCUUGAACCUCGACGGCGUGCCUAUUGAAGAAUGAGCCAACGAGUUUAUAUAUAUGGCUGACUAAGCCCUUGUCGGGUGGAGUCCCAGCGAAAGCGAGUGUGAAUAGCGCGAAUUAUAGUCGUAUGUAUAAGACCCGAAAUCAGGUGAGCUUACCAUGAGCAGGGUGAAGGAGGUCGAAAGACUUCUGGAGGCCCGAACCGCUGCGUCGCACAACGCGCUCGGAUGACUUGUGGUAAGGAGUGAAAAGCUAAUCGAACCUGGUAAUAGCUGGUUCUCUCCGAAACAGCUUUAGGGUUGGCGUCGUGUGUUCCCUCUGGGGGUAGAGCACUGGCAGGUGUGAACAGGAUGAAAAUCCGUCACUCCUAUCAAACUCCGAAUACCAGAGAUCAAAAACACGGCAGUUAGAGUCAGGGGGCGAAGCUCCUGUGCUCGAAAGGGAAACAGCCCAGAUCGCAGUUUAAGGUCCCAAAAUUGAUACUAAGUACAAACGAGGAGGUGAGGUUUCUUCGACAGUGAGGAGGUUGGCUUAGAAGCAGCCACCCUUUAAAGAUAGCGUAACAGCUCACUCACUCAGAGACCUUGCGCCGAAGAUGAUCGGGGUUAAGUAUCAUACCGAAAACGCGGGCUUGUGAAUUUCAUUGGAGAAACAACUUCGGUUGUUUUUCCAGUGAAGUUCAUGAGCGGUAGGAGAGCGUUCCAUUCGCGAUGAAGCCAAAGGGGUGACCCAUGGUGGAGCAUAUGGAAGUGAGAAUGUUGGCACGAGUAACCGCAUUGUGGGUGAGAUUCCCACACGCCGAAAUACCGAGGUUUCCUGGGCUAUGAAGAUCAGCUCAGGGUUAGUCGGGCCUAAGCCGAUCCCGAACGGGGGAGGCGAUGGACAUACGGUUAAUAUUCCGUAACCUGCGCAUAAUGCGAUGGAGUGACGGGGGAAAUAAGUACAAGCAUCUUAUUGGAUUGAUGUUUUUUACUCCAAGGGAGGAUACAUAGGAAAAUCCGUGUAUCACAUACUUCCGAGAGUCGAAUAAAUUUCUAGGUUCGCCUAGAGAGAUUUGUGCGAAGAGCCCUCCGAGAAAAGCUUCUAAGCUUAAUUAUGCGUGGACCGUACCGCAAACCAACACAGGUGGUAGAGUCGAGAAGACUAAGGCGAACGGGUGAAAGUUCCUCAAGGAACUCGGCAAAACAGCGACCGUAACUUAGGGAUAAGGUCUGCCCUCAUACCUUCGGGUAUCAGAGGGCCGCAGCGAAAGAGUCCUGGCGACUGUUUAUCAAAAACACAGCUCCGUGCGAACUCGUAAGAGGAUGUAUACGGGGUGACGCCUGACCAAUGCCGGAAGGUUAAACAUGGAUGGUGUAUGAAGUUUACUUUGUAUGCUGGGCUAUGUAAGCCCCGGUGAAUGUCGGCCGUAACUAKAMYSGWMYKRMRRWMGYKKRMKYMYUYRKSKMRKMRWYSUWRWSGYSCAYGAAWGGCGUMACGACUNGGGANRCUGUCUCSAGGARCUGCCCGGUGAAAAUGCAAUUCCGGUAAAGAUGCCGGAUACCUGCAGCAGGACGGAAAGACCCCAGGAGCUUUACUACAGCUUGAUAUUGGGGGCGUGUGAAUAAUGCGUAGAAUAGAUGGGAGGCUUUGAAGCGAUUCUUUUGGGAGUCGUGGAGCCGUCAGUGAAAUACCAUCCUUUGUUUAUGCGUCUCCUAACCAGCAUGGCAAAACCAUGUCGAGACAGUAUCUGGCAGGUAGUUUUAGUGGGGCGCUAUCCUUAACUUUGCGCCCACACCGUCUUAUCCACGGUAAAAUAUAAAUGGGGACUCCCGUAGGCAACUAUGGGAUAAACACUUGGCUAUAUGCUGGAACACCCGAGUAUCUUUAAGUACUCGCUUACUCUGUAAGCAGUGAAAAUCUUAAAGUGCGGACAAUCAGCAGGAAACCGACUAUAUGUUGGGAUCCUCAGAGACUACACGCUAAGCAUCCUUAACGGGAUGAAGAUAUAGUCCGAUCUCUAUGGCGACAUAGAGAGUGUGGCAGAAAUGACCACACCGGUACAUGAUAUGUGUACUAGUAACAAGAAUGCCUAAAAAGUAACGGAGGAGUUUAAAGGUUCUCUAGACGCGGAUGGAAACCGUGUCGAUAGUGUAAUGGCAAAAGAGAGCUUGAUUGCGAGACGUACAUGUCAAGCAGGCGCGAAAGCGGAACAUAGUGAACCGAUAGUUUGCUUUAGAUGCAGCUAGAGAUUAACGGAUAAAAGUUACCCUGGGGAUAACAGGCUGGUACCGCCUAAGAGUCCAUAUCGCCGGCGGUGUUCGGCACCUCGAUGUCGGCUCACCUUAUCCUGGGGCUGAAGAAGGUCCCAAGGGUUUGGCUGUUCGCCAAUUAAAAAGGUACGCGAGCUGGGUUCAGACCGUUGAGAAAUUGUUUUAUUACGAUUUCUCAACAGUCUGAAUCCCGAGGCUACGUAUUAGAGACGUAAAAGACAUUAAUUCACGGCGGCACAAAAUAGUAAUAUUUUGCUGCUUAAGUUAGCUAUAUCGGUGAAACCUAUAACAAAGUAUAGGCAAUACCGAGGGAAGUCGUAAUUGACCCCGUAGAGACUAGACGCUAACCAUCCUACAUUUGAGGAUGAAGAUAUAGUCCAAGUGUAUGACCACAACAUAGCGUGAGACAGGUUGGUCGUAAUCCGCUGCAGGCGUCGAUUUUUGAGAAGAUUUGUUCCUAGUACGAGAGGACCGGAAUGAACUGACCUCUGGUCUAUCGGCUGUUUCACCAGAAGCACUGCCGAGUAGCUAUGUCGGGAAUGGAUAACCGCUGAAAGCAUCUAAGCGGGAAGCCAACUUCAAGAUAAGAAAUCAUUUGAGAUCCGUAGGAGACUACUACGUUGAUAGGCACUAGGUGUACGUACAGCGAUGUACUUAGCCGAGGUGUACUAAUUCAUCGAGGAGUU